GGAGAUGAGAUAACAGAUUGACAAUUCCAUGGUUUUCAACGUUCUGAUUGGUGAACCCUCCCCCCCCCCCACUUUUCUUGGCCAGACUUAGACCCAGCCAUACUCUCAUCCUGUCAUCCAGACUCUCGCCAUCUUUCUCACUCCCACCCCAGCCUCUUUCCACCACCUCAGAACAGUAAUCAAAUCAAUAGCUACUGUUGCUUCUUGGAAAGGAUAAAUCAACUGGCUUCUCUAUUGACCGAUCCACUAUCCCUGUGGCUUCCUGGAUCCAAACACUCUUCCCUGGUCAACAUUUCUCUAUUUAUGCCACCUCUAUUAGAAGGUUUCUACAGAUGCCUCAGUGACUUCUCCAUCGUCAAAGAUCUUCAGAUGAAGGCUAGAAGAUCGCCUAGAGAGGAAGGAUGCUAUUGUGGGGGAAUUCCAAUUCAGAACAGUUCUAUUCAUCUAUCCAUGGUGACAGGAUAAUAUGGAAAAUUAAAUUGAAAUAAUCAUCGCUCUUUGGAUUUACCACCAAGAUGGAAAACAAAGCUGAAUCUCCUUGAG
RNAcentral lists this long non-coding RNA (543 nucleotides) under Monodelphis domestica (gray short-tailed opossum). RNAcentral's name for it is "lncRNA (ENSMODG00000047709.1)". Lineage: Eukaryota; Metazoa; Chordata; Mammalia; Didelphimorphia; Didelphidae. The record is from RNAcentral.